This 47-nucleotide transfer RNA is filed under the name Equus sp. RNAcentral's name for it is "partial tRNA-Gly". The record is from RNAcentral. Lineage: Eukaryota; Metazoa; Chordata; Mammalia; Perissodactyla; Equidae.
CAANNGACUUCCAAUCAAUCAGCUUCGGUAUAACCCGAAAAAGAAUA